RNAcentral lists this ribosomal RNA (300 nucleotides) under Triticum aestivum (bread wheat). RNAcentral's name for it is "partial small subunit ribosomal RNA". Lineage: Eukaryota; Viridiplantae; Streptophyta; Magnoliopsida; Poales; Poaceae. The record is from RNAcentral.
AUGGCUCUAUUUAAAUUGGAGAGUUUAGCUGAUAUGUAUUGUAUGCAGAUGAUUAUGAGCAAGAUGCAAGGACACAAAAAGCCUGGGAUGCAGAAAGACCAGGACACACAAAUCUGGAGAGGUCCUUGGUCAUCAGCUGGUCCAUCAUGGGCUUUGUAUAACGGUGGUGCAGGGCCGCAGGCCAAAAUUGAGCAUGUUAAUGUUGGGAUUUACAUCCUUGGUCCUCAUGGUGCUGCCGCUGAAGUAGAUCAUAUGCAUUUUACUGAAGUGGGAGUACUGCCAGUUCUCCACUCAGCGUAA